This is a long non-coding RNA of Chelonia mydas (Green sea turtle), 690 nucleotides long. RefSeq lists it as uncharacterized. The transcript has 3 exons. NCBI's taxonomy places the organism in Eukaryota, Metazoa, Chordata, Testudines, Cheloniidae. The record is from RefSeq and is a predicted model, not a curated record.
AUGCUAGUAGACACUCUUAAAACUAGACUUAGCUGCAGUCACAUUAGCUUAGAUAAUGGGAGAAUUUUUCUUCAUUGAAAAUGCUCCCUGUCGCUUAAGAAGAACUCACUGAGGCAGCCUGCCAUCUAGCUUUCUCACAGCAAAACAGGCUUGCAGACUGCAGAUGAGAGACUCAGGAGCAGAGACAAUUUUAACUUAGCCAGCCCUAAUUUAUCUCAAGCUUUUUCAAUUCAUCUUCACUGCUCUAUGCUCACUGGAACACCAGAUUGUCAUCCCUUGGGAACAGAAUGCAACCAGGGAUCUAGAGAGCUGUCACAUCACAAGAAAUAUUUAAAUUGUGCUGAUUUUCUUCUGGAGUACUGAGCAGAGGGAAUGAAACUCUCCAUCAAGUCAUAGCUUUGCGGGCAAUAGAUCAGAGGAUACUGCCAGUUUUCUAAUGGAUUAUUGUUAUCGGGCAGGUUCUUCCUGAAGGUAUGCAGUUGCUCUCAAUUCAUUACCCAGGCUGUUUAUAAGACUUUGGCUAGCACAGCAGCUGCAUCUUGGGUUUCAGCCUGCAACCUCAACAUGACAUUCCAGGCCUGCCAAAGACUGUUGGGAUCUGCAAGAUAAAAAGCAGACCACCACACAUUGAAUUUUCUAAUCAGAUGACCAACCCUAACUUUGAUGUGGCAGGAUUGCCAUUGGAAGGAG